This 390-nucleotide ribosomal RNA is filed under the name uncultured bacterium. RNAcentral's name for it is "bacterial SSU rRNA". It matches the Rfam family "Bacterial small subunit ribosomal RNA", at positions 402 to 809 of the family's 1533-position model. The record is from RNAcentral.
UGAGUGAUGAAGGUCUUAGGAUUGUAAAGCUCUUUCACCGGUGAAGAUAAUGACGGUAACCGGAGAAGAAGCCCCGGCUAACUUCGUGCCAGCAGCCGCGGUAAUACGAAGGGGGCUAGCGUUGUUCGGAAUUACUGGGCGUAAAGCGCACGUAGGCGGAUAUUUAAGUCAGGGGUGAAAUCCCAGAGCUCAACUCUGGAACUGCCUUUGAUACUGGGUAUCUUGAGUAUGGAAGAGGUGAGUGGAAUUCCGAGUGUAGAGGUGAAAUUCGUAGAUAUUCGGAGGAACACCAGUGGCGAAGGCGGCUCACUGGUCCAUUACUGACGCUGAGGUGCGAAAGCGUGGGGAGCAAACAGGAUUAGGUACCCUGGUAGUCCACGCCGUAAACGA